This 77-nucleotide transfer RNA is filed under the name Vibrio parahaemolyticus. RNAcentral describes it as "tRNA-Arg". It matches the Rfam family "tRNA". From Rfam's summary of the family: Transfer RNA (tRNA) molecules are approximately 80 nucleotides in length. Their secondary structure includes four short double-helical elements and three loops (D, anti-codon, and T loops). The record is from RNAcentral. Lineage: Bacteria; Pseudomonadati; Pseudomonadota; Gammaproteobacteria; Vibrionales; Vibrionaceae.
GCGUCCUUAGCUCAGCUGGAUAGAGUACCUGGCUACGAACCAGGCGGUCUGAGGUUCGAGUCCUCCAGGACGCGCCA